UUAAAUAGACAUUGAAUUGUAAGAAAACAAAAAACUUCCUAUCCAAUUUUCACCCUCUAUAUAUUAUGUAUGUGUAUACACCACUUUAUUAUUCCUCACUAACAUAGUUAUUCAAUUAUUCCCAAGAAAAAAAAUGGAUUCACCUCUUGUACCUCAAGAGAUAAGUUAUGUGGAACAUGUUCACAAACGCCAUGAAGAAAAAGGCUGUCUUUAUGCUUGUUUAUUUGCCUUAUGUUGCUGCUUUUGUUGCUAUGAGACAUGUGAAUGUUGCUUGGAUUGUGGCAUGUUGCUGUUGCUCCUAGAAGGAUACAAAUUCGAUUCUAUGCUUAUCAAAUGGAGCCCUCUCUUGGUCCAGGUGCAAUAGUUUCUGUAAAUUUAACUUUAUUUUAUGUGGUUAGUUUAUACCACUCAUUUUUUUUUAGUGGGUGCAAGUUGAUAAGUUAUUUUACUUUGAAAAAACUAUGACGAUUCACAUGACGAUUAACCAUCACAUACUUGAUGUUAAGCCAAUGUUUUUCCUCUGCGACCAAACAUCGCUGGAAGAAACACAUUCAAAGAAAUUAGUGACGAACAUAUUCAUAACAUGACACUCUUCAACAUAUAAUCGAAUAUUACUAUGUAGCGUUUUCAUCAAAGUUUAAUACUGUAAUAAAUUAGAGAAACAAAAUGAAACUACACGAAAUUCUUCCCAAUCAUAGGGAGAUUUUGACAAAACUUUAAUCUCUUUUUCUUUUUCUUCAAGCUCUUGAAAACUAUUCCCGCCCCCGCUACUUUCACCGUAACAAUGUAGAGUUGUGUUUGAUUAGAGUGAUUUUGAGGUGAAAUGAGAUUUUCUAAAAUAUUCCGAACCAUGUUAGUUUGCUUUGAUUCAUACAAAUUUAGUCACAAAUAUAUACUUGAAAUACUAAAGAAAAUAGGAAAAAAAUAACAUGUGUUGUAAGAAUAUCUCAAUAAUACUAAUUUUGUAUUACACCAAGAUCUUUGAGCUGUAGAACAAAGAACAAAAGAAACUAACUAAAUGAUCUCAAAUAAUAAUAAAUAAAAUGUGAAAAAAUAAGAAGAUAUUUACUCAAUUCAAUCAAAUUGUAACAA
Long non-coding RNA from Vicia villosa (hairy vetch), 1092 nucleotides. RefSeq lists it as uncharacterized. The record is from RefSeq and is a predicted model, not a curated record. NCBI's taxonomy places the organism in Eukaryota, Viridiplantae, Streptophyta, Magnoliopsida, Fabales, Fabaceae. The transcript is spliced from 3 exons.